Molecule: small nuclear RNA, 316 nt
Filed under: Erinaceus europaeus (western European hedgehog)
Lineage: Eukaryota; Metazoa; Chordata; Mammalia; Eulipotyphla; Erinaceidae
Description: 7SK RNA (ENSEEUG00000019699.1)
Rfam family: 7SK RNA
About the family: 7SK was discovered as an abundant small nuclear RNA in the mid-70s but a possible function has only recently been suggested. Two independent studies have found that 7SK RNA binds the CDK9/cyclin T complex (known as elongation factor P-TEFb). P-TEFb activates transcription by phosphorylating the C-terminal domain of RNA polymerase II.
Source: RNAcentral
GAAAGUAAAGGUGAUCUGACUGCGACAUCUAUCACCCCACUGAUGCAGUGAGGGUUGAUUCCGCUGAUUAUCUGGCUGGCUAGGCGGAUGGAUGUCCCCUUCCUCCCUCACCGCUCCCAUGUGCAUCCUUUCCGAAGCUGUGCUCUGGGUGGAAGAGGACCUCCUUCCCCGAAUAGAGAUGGUCUGGUCUUCAGUCGAGAGUAUAUGAGUAGCUACACUCUCCUGCAGGAACCUCCAAACAAGUUCUCAAGCUCUUAGAUGAAAAGACUAGAAAGCCAAGCAGUUGUGGGGUCUGGGUGCCAGCAUUACCAUGUGA